RNAcentral lists this long non-coding RNA (1258 nucleotides) under Mus musculus (house mouse). Its description in RNAcentral is "predicted gene, 34157". The record is from RNAcentral. Lineage: Eukaryota; Metazoa; Chordata; Mammalia; Rodentia; Muridae.
GCAAAUAGUGCUUGGAAUGGCUGCUUAAUUAGCUUUGAAUGGCUUUUCCUUCCAGCUCAAACAAUCUGUCACUACCAUGUGGUAUAAAGGAGCCAUGCAUAAAAAAGUAAAAACACACACAAACCCUGAAGAAAAAAAAAAGAAGAAGAAAAAGGAAAGAAAGAAAGAAAAAAAAGGAAGAAAAUCAAAACCCAAACUCCACGGUGUUCCUACUCCUGCGCACGUCUGAAAUAGGCGCCAGCACCCGGCCUGCCACACGGAUGAUGAGCGUGAUGGAUGCGGUUUUGCCGAGCGCCGCCCCCACGGCAGAGCCGAACUGCUUGCAGCAGCGCUCCCCACUGUGUGGAAGGACAGCCCUUGAGCGUUUAAUAGGUACAAAGCGGCCAUGGUUACCCAGUACGUCCUCACUUCACUCCCAAGGCCUGGCUGACGGCCCGUCUUAUAGAGUAGAAGAGGGGCUGAUACACAAACAAAGCUUAGUAAUAGGCCGCGAGCUAGGCAGAGAGAAUUGGAAUCCAGGACAGCCAGAUCCACGGCCAAACUCCUUUGUUUGUGCAAGCCGAAUCUAUAUGAGCAUUUACUGAAAGACAUUCAUUCACUCAUUCACUCAUUCAUUCAUUCUAACCCUCUCUGAAGGUAUGGUUGAGGAGCCUCUGGCUCCCAGUUCACCGUAUCACCUCGGCUUUUUUUUUUCCUUCUUCUUCCUUCUUCUGUAACCAGAACCCAGAGCCUGAAAGGGAAGCAGGGCCCUUGGUAACUUGGUUCAGGUCCCUUAAGCUCAAAACUCACUACUGCUCAGAACCCCACCCCCAUGCCACCUCACAAAUUUUGUAAGAAAUGGAAAUGAGCUUAUUUUAUGCUAGAGAAAGAUGCACACAACACACUGUCCGAAGCGCUUGACAAUUAUUUUAAAGAAGGAGGGGACUGAAGAAAAAGACUUCAAACAGCUCUGUCUCCAGUUCUAAUUGGAAGCGUUUCAACUGUUUAUGUUACAAGAAGUGUCAGGGUCAUUUGCUACCGGAGAGCUGACUUUUCAUUGGCUGCUUAAUUGAGUACCUCGGAGUCCACCCCACGUGGGAGAGGAAUUCCUGGCACAUUAAAAAAAAAAAAAAAGUCACGCGGUGAGCUGGAAAGUCCGGGAUGGAUCUGCAUCAGCGGAAGGCCCCCAGCUCCUCAUUUGGGAUGUAAGAUGACUGUGGGAACUUGAGGUGGGGACAGAGAUGCUUCUCUGGUUCCUUCAAAAUAAAUCCAAAACACG